AACAGAACCUGCCUCUCUGGAGUCCAAGCUCAGUACCUUAACUAGAAGACCAGCUUUCCUCUGCCACCUGAAGUGUCCCGUGGAGAAAACGUGUGCUGUUAAACAGCUGCCGUGUUCUACCCCAGAAGUUGCUGCUUUUCUGUAACAGACAAACUGACCUAUCCUGCAAAACUUUGCAGAAACCUAUAAGGAAGCAGUCCACCCGAAGAUUCAUCACUGGUGUAACUGCACUGACUUCGUUGGAGGGAGCGUUUUAUGGGACAAGCGUGAGCAUGGGA
Non-coding RNA from Pelodiscus sinensis (Chinese soft-shelled turtle), 278 nucleotides. Lineage: Eukaryota; Metazoa; Chordata; Testudines; Trionychidae. The record is from RefSeq and is a predicted model, not a curated record.